RNAcentral lists this ribosomal RNA (273 nucleotides) under uncultured Streptomyces sp. Its description in RNAcentral is "partial 16S ribosomal RNA". It matches the Rfam family "Bacterial small subunit ribosomal RNA", at positions 524 to 796 of the family's 1533-position model. Lineage: Bacteria; Bacillati; Actinomycetota; Actinomycetes; Kitasatosporales; Streptomycetaceae. The record is from RNAcentral.
UACGUAGGGGGCAAGCGUUGUCCGGAUUUAUUGGGCGUAAAGAGCUCGUAGGCGGCUUGUCGCGUCGGUUGUGAAAGCCCGGGGCUUAACCCCGGGUCUGCAGUCGAUACGGGCAGGCUAGAGUUCGGUAGGGGAGAUCGGAAUUCCUGGUGUAGCGGUGAAAUGCGCAGAUAUCAGGAGGAACACCGGUGGCGAAGGCGGAUCUCUGGGCCGAUACUGACGCUGAGGAGCGAAAGCGUGGGGAGCGAACAGGAUUAGAAACCCUAGUAGUCC